AAAAAAGCUAUGACGAAGAGGGCUGAGCUGUUAAGUUCACAGAGAGUCGGGGUUGGUGAGAACCGAUAAUAAAACUGCUUAAUGUCUAUGGCUUCUGAGCUGAAGGUUCGAAAACAUGUAAAUGUCAGUAGGCUCCUUCCGUGAUUGCUGCGUAAAGGCAUAGGGCUUGUUUGAGCCUGAGAGGUGGCAUUAUUAUUAAUGCAAUUUGAGUGGUACCGCGGGAUUAUCCCGUCUCAAAG
Molecule: non-coding RNA, 239 nt
Filed under: Anaerotignum neopropionicum
Lineage: Bacteria; Bacillati; Bacillota; Clostridia; Lachnospirales; Anaerotignaceae
Description: Clostridium neopropionicum T-box sequence
Rfam family: T-box leader
About the family: Uncharged tRNA acts as the effector for transcription antitermination of genes in the T-box leader family.
Source: RNAcentral